GACGAACGCUGGCAGCGUGCUUAACACAUGCAAGUCGAACGGAAAGGCCCUGCUUUUGUGGGGUGCUCGAGUGGCGAACGGGUGAGUAACACGUGAGUAACCUGCCCUUGACUUUGGGAUAACUUCAGGAAACUGGGGCUAAUACCGGAUAGGAGCUCCUGCUGCAUGGUGGGGGUUGGAAAGUUUCGGCGGUUGGGGAUGGACUCGCGGCUUAUCAGCUUGUUGGUGGGGUAGUGGCUUACCAAGGCUUUGACGGGUAGCCGGCCUGAGAGGGUGACCGGCCACAUUGGGACUGAGAUACGGCCCAGACUCCUACGGGAGGCAGAAGUGGGGAAUAUUGCACAAUGGGCGGAAGCCUGAUGCAGCAACGCCGCGUGCGGGAUGACGGCCUUCGGGUUGUAAACCGCUUUCGCCUGUGACGAAGCGUGAGUGACGGUAAUGGGUAAAGAAGCACCGGCUAACUACGUG
RNAcentral lists this ribosomal RNA (468 nucleotides) under uncultured bacterium. RNAcentral's name for it is "partial 16S ribosomal RNA". It matches the Rfam family "Bacterial small subunit ribosomal RNA", at positions 28 to 507 of the family's 1533-position model. The record is from RNAcentral.